UACGUAGGGUGCAGGCGUUAAUCGGAAUUACUGGGCGUAAAGCGUGCGCAGGCGGUCUGCUAAGAGAGGUGUGAAAUCCCCGGGCUUAACCUGGGAACUGCGCUUCUAACUGGCAGGCUUGAGUGUGGCAGAGGGGGGUGGAAUUCCACGUGUAGCAGUGAAAUGCGUAGAGAUGUGGAGGAACACCGAUGGCGAAGGCAGCCCC
Molecule: ribosomal RNA, 205 nt
Filed under: uncultured bacterium
Lineage: Bacteria
Description: partial 16S ribosomal RNA
Rfam family: Bacterial small subunit ribosomal RNA
Source: RNAcentral